Eptesicus fuscus (big brown bat) is the source of this 1462-nucleotide long non-coding RNA. RefSeq lists it as uncharacterized. The record is from RefSeq and is a predicted model, not a curated record. NCBI's taxonomy places the organism in Eukaryota, Metazoa, Chordata, Mammalia, Chiroptera, Vespertilionidae. The transcript has 7 exons.
GUGUGUCUGAGGCCCGUGGACGGGUGCGUUUGGCGGGAGGUCCCAGGCGCUGGGGGCCCGUUGGAAGGAGGCGGCGGGAUGGGGAAGCUGACGGCGGAGCUGAUGGAGCCGGCGGCGCAGCACACAACGCCGUGCGGGACCGCGAGCUGGGCCUGCGGGUCAAUGGAGAAGUGUCCUGGGUGAGGAUCAGCAACAACAAAGAAGUCGGAGGGACGGGCAGCUGUCUGUUCAGCCGAUCAGCGCUAUCCACUGAGCCACACCGCGCCUGCCGCACCCGGGUGAGUUCCUUAGACAAACGGUUGGGGUGCAGGAAGAGCCCCCGAGAGCCUCCAGGAAGCGUGGGUCCUAACGCCAGGCCGCUCUGGCCCGCCACUGUGGCUCGGUGGUUGCGCAUCCACCACUCCCUUCCCCUCUCCGAAAUCAGGUGACCUGGACCCGCUGGCGUCGCUCAUGUCGCUGACCUCCCUGAGGUAGGAGAUGACCCGGUGACAGUGAGUCCCUUACAACAACUCCCUGCCCGGCCUCGACCUAAACAGCCAGUGAGGACAAAGGAAUGCUGAAUGGAAAUUGGAACUGGAAAAGCCUGGUGCGGGGCAGCUGCAUUCCCGACUGUGAGCCGGGCACCUACUUGACUCGGAGCUGAUCCGAUGCGGGCAGUGCCACCCCACCUGCAGGACCUGCGUGGGCCCCAGCAGGGAGGAAUGCAUCCACUUCGCCAGCACCCUGCACUUCCGGGACUGGACGUGUCUGCCCACCUGUGGCGAGCGUCAAGCACGUGGCAUCCCUGUGAUGUCCCGCCGGCUCGAGCAUCUCCACGGUCAACCUCAGCCGCACCGGGUCCCGCUGGCGGGCCGGGCCGUCCACACGCGUGACUUGGGGCCCAACCGCCCCUGUCCGUCCACCCGGUCUGUGCGCCAGACCUGUGUCCGGCCUGUGGUUUAGCUGCCUGCUCCGGUUCUCGCCGAGGGGGGUCCUGUGGACAGAGCCCCGAUAUUUCCCUGGAAAUGCACCGAUCGGCUCCCGGGACCUAGAGUAACCUUUGCUUUAAAGUUUCUCUCGAGCUUGUACGCGUCCGUUGUGUCCGGCUCCCCCCUCGAACCAUCAUGCAUCUGACGUGUCUCGGGGAGCAGGGGGAGCCCCCCACAGGAGUGAAUCGAAAUCAUGAAACAUAGGGAGACGCCCUCAGAGCAAAUGCGGUGUUAACCCUAAGUUAAUAAAAGAGGUAACAGCCCACAGCCAAGGACUCUUUCUUUCCCGGGCACAGCGAUGACACCUGUGUGCUGCCCGGCCGGUGAGGCUCAGCGGUUGAGCUUUGACCGGGAGGUCACAGGUCCGAUUCCUGGUUCGAAGCUCCAUCCCCGGUGUGGGGGUGCAGGAGGCACCGAUCAGUGAUUCUCAUCAUGGAUGUUUUUCCUUUCUGUCUCCCUUCCUGUCUGUAAAUAACCAAUAAAAUAUAUAUAUU